RNAcentral lists this ribosomal RNA (2035 nucleotides) under Escherichia coli. RNAcentral's name for it is "bacterial LSU rRNA". It matches the Rfam family "Bacterial large subunit ribosomal RNA", at positions 14 to 2074 of the family's 2925-position model. The record is from RNAcentral. Lineage: Bacteria; Pseudomonadati; Pseudomonadota; Gammaproteobacteria; Enterobacterales; Enterobacteriaceae.
AGCGUACACGGUGGAUGCCCUGGCAGUCAGAGGCGAUGAAGGACGUGCUAAUCUGCGAUAAGCGUCGGUAAGGUGAUAUGAACCGUUAUAACCGGCGAUUUCCGAAUGGGGAAACCCAGUGUGAUUCGUCACACUAUCAUUAACUGAAUCCAUAGGUUAAUGAGGCGAACCGGGGGAACUGAAACAUCUAAGUACCCCGAGGAAAAGAAAUCAACCGAGAUUCCCCCAGUAGCGGCGAGCGAACGGGGAGGAGCCCAGAGCCUGAAUCAGUGUGUGUGUUAGUGGAAGCGUCUGGAAAGGCGCGCGAUACAGGGUGACAGCCCCGUACACAAAAAUGCACAUGCUGUGAGCUCGAUGAGUAGGGCGGGACACGUGGUAUCCUGUCUGAAUAUGGGGGGACCAUCCUCCAAGGCUAAAUACUCCUGACUGACCGAUAGUGAACCAGUACCGUGAGGGAAAGGCGAAAAGAACCCCGGCGAGGGGAGUGAAAAAGAACCUGAAACCGUGUACGUACAAGCAGUGGGAGCACGCUUAGGCGUGUGACUGCGUACCUUUUGUAUAAUGGGUCAGCGACUUAUAUUCUGUAGCAAGGUUAACCGAAUAGGGGAGCCGAAGGGAAACCGAGUCUUAACUGGGCGUUAAGUUGCAGGGUAUAGACCCGAAACCCGGUGAUCUAGCCAUGGGCAGGUUGAAGGUUGGGUAACACUAACUGGAGGACCGAACCGACUAAUGUUGAAAAAUUAGCGGAUGACUUGUGGCUGGGGGUGAAAGGCCAAUCAAACCGGGAGAUAGCUGGUUCUCCCCGAAAGCUAUUUAGGUAGCGCCUCGUGAAUUCAUCUCCGGGGGUAGAGCACUGUUUCGGCAAGGGGGUCAUCCCGACUUACCAACCCGAUGCAAACUGCGAAUACCGGAGAAUGUUAUCACGGGAGACACACGGCGGGUGCUAACGUCCGUCGUGAAGAGGGAAACAACCCAGACCGCCAGCUAAGGUCCCAAAGUCAUGGUUAAGUGGGAAACGAUGUGGGAAGGCCCAGACAGCCAGGAUGUUGGCUUAGAAGCAGCCAUCAUUUAAAGAAAGCGUAAUAGCUCACUGGUCGAGUCGGCCUGCGCGGAAGAUGUAACGGGGCUAAACCAUGCACCGAAGCUGCGGCAGCGACGCUUAUGCGUUGUUGGGUAGGGGAGCGUUCUGUAAGCCUGUGAAGGUGUACUGUGAGGUAUGCUGGAGGUAUCAGAAGUGCGAAUGCUGACAUAAGUAACGAUAAAGCGGGUGAAAAGCCCGCUCGCCGGAAGACCAAGGGUUCCUGUCCAACGUUAAUCGGGGCAGGGUGAGUCGACCCCUAAGGCGAGGCCGAAAGGCGUAGUCGAUGGGAAACAGGUUAAUAUUCCUGUACUUGGUGUUACUGCGAAGGGGGGACGGAGAAGGCUAUGUUGGCCGGGCGACGGUUGUCCCGGUUUAAGCGUGUAGGCUGGUUUUCCAGGCAAAUCCGGAAAAUCAAGGCUGAGGCGUGAUGACGAGGCACUACGGUGCUGAAGCAACAAAUGCCCUGCUUCCAGGAAAAGCCUCUAAGCAUCAGGUAACAUCAAAUCGUACCCCAAACCGACACAGGUGGUCAGGUAGAGAAUACCAAGGCGCUUGAGAGAACUCGGGUGAAGGAACUAGGCAAAAUGGUGCCGUAACUUCGGGAGAAGGCACGCUGAUAUGUAGGUGAAGUCCCUCGCGGAUGGAGCUGAAAUCAGUCGAAGAUACCAGCUGGCUGCAACUGUUUAUUAAAAACACAGCACUGUGCAAACACGAAAGUGGACGUAUACGGUGUGACGCCUGCCCGGUGCCGGAAGGUUAAUUGAUGGGGUUAGCGCAAGCGAAGCUCUUGAUCGAAGCCCCGGUAAACGGCGGCCGUAACUAUAACGGUCCUAAGGUAGCGAAAUUCCUUGUCGGGUAAGUUCCGACCUGCACGAAUGGCGUAAUGAUGGCCAGGCUGUCUCCACCCGAGACUCAGUGAAAUUGAACUCGCUGUGAAGAUGCAGUGUACCCGCG